GCAUCUAGGACACACAUCUAACAGAAUUUUGGAGAAUCAAAAUUCAGAUUAUAGAGGACUAUUCUAGACUGAUCUCGAAUAGAUACUCAUAGAGGCCGGAUACUUGUACACUAACAGAGAACCUUGUCUCUUUUAGAUCCAGUUUUGAAGAAAGAGAUUGCGAAACAGGUAUGUGAUUUGAUCACAAUCUAAAUUUCAGCAUAUAUCAAGUUCAGCAUAUGAAAU
RNAcentral lists this long non-coding RNA (225 nucleotides) under Elaeis guineensis (African oil palm). RNAcentral describes it as "long non-coding RNA (EGUI_LNC079373)". The record is from RNAcentral. Lineage: Eukaryota; Viridiplantae; Streptophyta; Magnoliopsida; Arecales; Arecaceae.